This is a long non-coding RNA of Corythoichthys intestinalis (scribbled pipefish), 2217 nucleotides long. RefSeq lists it as uncharacterized. NCBI's taxonomy places the organism in Eukaryota, Metazoa, Chordata, Actinopteri, Syngnathiformes, Syngnathidae. The record is from RefSeq and is a predicted model, not a curated record. The transcript is spliced from 7 exons.
UGCACUCUUAUUUUUCAUUAUGUACAUGCCUGCAAUUCGCAGCUCGCUGUUUUUGUUGUUGUAUGGUAUUGUUGUUUUGCCUUCAUUUGUUUUGUCUGGUCCUUUGUAGUUUGAAUGUUGUCACAUGAUCCAAAUAGGACAAGGUUGUAAUUUUUUCUUGAUAUUGUUACUCUGCUUAGCUAUAUAUUUUUUCAUUAUUUUGUUUUUUUUUUUACUAGCUGCAAGAUCACCACCCCAUUGGGAAGAAACUAAAUCACGACCCUCAAAUGGUAGUCUUCCCAUGCAGAUACAGGGAUGUCACACAGAUCCAAAUGGAAACAUCGAACACUGUAAAACCCACUGUGCAGACAGGACCAAUGGUGACAAUAUAAGACCAUGCCGAGCUUCAUGGACGGUUCAAACUCAUCCUGCCCAGGAACGGCUGGUAUGUUUUAUGUCUGAGACAAAUGUUGUGCUCAGUGGAAAUCUGGAUAGGCUUAUUAUUCCUUAUAUUAGUUAACAAUUGGACAUAAUUGAUUAUUUACUCUUUGUUUAUUUAACCAAUCAACAUUCUCAUUAGCUUAUGCAAAUCUUGAAUAUAAAGAGGCCAGAAAUGGUGUUGAUUGUCUAAAAAAAGAAAGUUUGAUUGACACGUGCUGACUUUUGGAACGUUGGCCUGAACAAUGAAAUGGAAUCAACUGUGAAUUUUGAGGAUUUAGUUUCUCUAAAGAACAUAAUGUCACUUGUACAAUUAAGUAAAAUGUAACUUUUUGUUUUUGUUUUUUUGCAGAUAUGAAAUGCAUAUUUAUAACUUGUCUAACAAGUAGCUCAUUCAAAGGUAUAAAAAAGUAUUUUUUUGGCGUGUGUAGGGUAUUAUUUUAACUAUGUAGCCUACAGAAUGCUUGUAUGGGCUCAUGUAGGUGUCUGCGUACGUUUGUAUUUAUAUAACAUAUGUCCGUGUGUAUAGAUUAUGUAUUUUUCAGGGAAGGACCAUAUUUGUGGCUGACCCCUAUGUUGUUGCAACAUGGUGAAAGCCUACAGGAUGUGACCCACACAUGCAUCUGCCUGUAAGGCUGAUUAGUAACAACUACAACUUGGAGCAUUGGUUCAUUUUCAAAGAACAGUCAAAUCAUAACAAAUUAAAUGAUCCAAAUUCCAAUUAUUUGUGGGAAGAAAAACAGAUCCAAUCUUGAGAUCAGAGAACUAUUGUUAUCUCUAAUGAAAUUCAGUAACCAUUCAUAUUGGCAUGGCGUUUCCAUGAUGAUCCAGAAUAGCCUUGUUUGGUUUUGAAGGUAUGUUCCAGUCGAUCCUUUUAUUUUGCCCCUUCAAUUAAAGCAGAAUUGCACUCCAGAUGAUUCAUCCAAUCAUUUGAAGCAAAAUUCUAAAAUGCCACUCUAAAAUUGCGAAUGUUUUGUUUCAAGGGCAUUGGCCCGGUCUCAACAUUGGUAGGGACGAAUAUAAUGCAAAUAAGGUUGCUCAAAAGUUGGUGGGGACAACUUUAGCAUCCUGAAAAGUUGGUCGUGUUAUGUCCCUACCGUCCCUAUGCAAACCUACGCCCUUGUUUUGUUUGCAUGAAUCAUUUAAACCUGACUGGUUGGUGUUCUUAUGCAUGGAAACACGUUUGUAAUUGUUUAACUACUGUAUUUAAUAUAAACCUAUAUUUUCAAUUGCAGAAAACGUUGACAGUCAAUCAACAGGGGGACAUGGAAAGAGAGGAUUGGAAGUGAAAUAGAGGGUUUUUCGGGACAGCCAUAGGGGAAGGACUGUGGCAUCUUCAUGUUGGUAGACUGAUAUGCCAACUCUGAGGAAGUGGUGGUGUAUAUUGCUAGUGGACAAUUUCAAACUUGGGUGCAUGGUGAGCCACAGGAAAGAGUUUGCCCAUUGGACAGAUAAGGCAAAAGCAUUACUGCAGGGUGAAGUGCCACCAGUCUAUCAGCUACAGAAGUGAAAUUUGAAUAUAAUUGCUGAGGAAGAGGUGCAACCACAGCUCCUUCAAGUUAGUGGUGGCCCACUCCAAAAAGAUAUGGCGGGAAAAAAUGUUUUGGUAAAAGGAUUGUGCAAGACAGCACAAAAGCCUCGGACAGGGCGGGGGGGGAUCAAUGCAGUAGGAGUUCCCAAGCAUCCUGCAGAUGGAAGAGGAUGAGCACGAACUACAAUGUCUUGGAGCCAUUUAAGUUCUGUUUCAACCAUCUGGAAGAUGGAUUUACCUUUUUUGAGGAGAUUGUUGACCAAAGAAAA